AGCGAACGUUUGCGGCGGGCUUAACACAUGCAAGUCGAACGAGAAUCCCUUCGGGGAGGAAAGUGGCGCACGGGUGCGUAACACGUGGAUAACCAACCCAUUGGUUUGGGACAACACCGGGAAACUGGUGCUAAUACCAGAUGUGUCGCAGCUGUCUUCAGGCGGUUGCGAGAAAGGCCCGCAAGGGUCGCCAACGGACGGGUCCGCGUCCCAUCAGCUAGUUGGUGAGGUAAUGGCUCACCAAGGCAAAGACGGGUAGCUGGUCUGAGAGGAUGAUCAGCCACACUGGAACUGAGACACGGUCCAGACUCCUACGGGAGGCAGCAGUGGGGAAUAUUGCGCAAUGGGCGAAAGCCUGACGCAGCCACGCCGCGUGAGCGAUGAAGGUCUUCGGAUCGUAAAGACUCUGUGGGGGAGGAAGAAG
Molecule: ribosomal RNA, 424 nt
Filed under: uncultured bacterium
Lineage: Bacteria
Description: bacterial SSU rRNA
Rfam family: Bacterial small subunit ribosomal RNA
Source: RNAcentral